This is an RNA transcript of Carya illinoinensis, 755 nucleotides long. It is a transcript of the gene named biogenesis of lysosome-related organelles complex 1 subunit 1, with no coding region annotated. Lineage: Eukaryota; Viridiplantae; Streptophyta; Magnoliopsida; Fagales; Juglandaceae. The transcript has 4 exons. The record is from RefSeq and is a predicted model, not a curated record.
UUUUAAUCCCGUCCAAGUGCGUUCGGAGCAACACACAUGUAUUCACCCCAGCUUCCCCUGGCGCGUACGCGCGUGCCGGAUUCUUCCUCAUCCUCAGAGACGCCAAACGCAGAUCCAGGAGGCCUCGAAGCUUCUCUGCUCCAGUUUAUCCACCAUCAUCAUGAAGCCUCUCUCGGACUCCGCGACCGCACCGAGAGAGCGAAGAAAGAUGCGAUUCGAAAUGCUGCCCGAGUUUCGGAUCUAUUGGUGGACGCCGUGAACGGUGGAGUACAAGAGGCAUUCGUCAACCAGAAGCGAAUCGAGCUCGAAAUCCGAGCUCUGGCUGCGACGAUUGCCCGCUUCAUGAAGCAGACCGAUCACUGGCUUACCGCCACUCAUGCUAUCAACACCGCUAUCAAGGUUGUGUAUGCGUGAGGCAGUUUGUGAAUCACAAUGGCAUGGUUAUAGUCUCUCUUGACCUUGUGUUAAGCAGGUGCUGUGUUUGCUUUGGAAAUUGGAGACUUUGAGAACUGGAUGAAGACAAUGGAGUUUGAUUGUAAAAGUGUCAGUGCGGCGAUCCACAACAUUCACCAAGCCUGAUCUAACUGCAAAGUUAUUUAGUUUUACCAUUUGUAAUUUGUGAGUCUCUUUUCUUUCUUCCUUUCUUGUUCGAGAAAAUUUAUUUAGAAGCUUUAUUUAUUAACACACCGGCACGCUGCUGACAAAGAAGCUUUUCACAUUAGUUAUGCUAAAAAAUGAUUCGUGUUUUGAUUUUU